GCCUGGGUGGCUCAGUUGGACUGAGCAUCUGACUUCGGAUCAGGUCAUGAUCUCGCAGUUCGUGAGUUCGAGCCCCUCAUCUGGCU
RNAcentral lists this transfer RNA (86 nucleotides) under Felis catus (domestic cat). It matches the Rfam family "tRNA". Rfam says of the family: Transfer RNA (tRNA) molecules are approximately 80 nucleotides in length. Their secondary structure includes four short double-helical elements and three loops (D, anti-codon, and T loops). The record is from Rfam by way of RNAcentral. Lineage: Eukaryota; Metazoa; Chordata; Mammalia; Carnivora; Felidae.